Molecule: ribosomal RNA, 1204 nt
Filed under: Bacillus safensis
Lineage: Bacteria; Bacillati; Bacillota; Bacilli; Caryophanales; Bacillaceae
Description: bacterial SSU rRNA
Rfam family: Bacterial small subunit ribosomal RNA
Source: RNAcentral
CUAUACAUGCAGUCGAGCGGACAGAAGGGAGCUUGCUCCCGGAUGUUAGCGGCGGACGGGUGAGUAACACGUGGGUAACCUGCCUGUAAGACUGGGAUAACUCCGGGAAACCGGAGCUAAUACCGGAUAGUUCCUUGAACCGCAUGGUUCAAGGAUGAAAGACGGUUUCGGCUGUCACUUACAGAUGGACCCGCGGCGCAUUAGCUAGUUGGUGGGGUAAUGGCUCACCAAGGCGACGAUGCGUAGCCGACCUGAGAGGGUGAUCGGCCACACUGGGACUGAGACACGGCCCAGACUCCUACGGGAGGCAGCAGUAGGGAAUCUUCCGCAAUGGACGAAAGUCUGACGGAGCAACGCCGCGUGAGUGAUGAAGGUUUUCGGAUCGUAAAGCUCUGUUGUUAGGGAAGAACAAGUGCGAGAGUAACUGCUCGCACCUUGACGGUACCUAACCAGAAAGCCACGGCUAACUACGUGCCAGCAGCCGCGGUAAUACGUAGGUGGCAAGCGUUGUCCGGAAUUAUUGGGCGUAAAGGGCUCGCAGGCGGUUUCUUAAGUCUGAUGUGAAAGCCCCCGGCUCAACCGGGGAGGGUCAUUGGAAACUGGGAAACUUGAGUGCAGAAGAGGAGAGUGGAAUUCCACGUGUAGCGGUGAAAUGCGUAGAGAUGUGGAGGAACACCAGUGGCGAAGGCGACUCUCUGGUCUGUAACUGACGCUGAGGAGCGAAAGCGUGGGGAGCGAACAGGAUUAGAUACCCUGGUAGUCCACGCCGUAAACGAUGAGUGCUAAGUGUUAGGGGGUUUCCGCCCCUUAGUGCUGCAGCUAACGCAUUAAGCACUCCGCCUGGGGAGUACGGUCGCAAGACUGAAACUCAAAGGAAUUGACGGGGGCCCGCACAAGCGGUGGAGCAUGUGGUUUAAUUCGAAGCAACGCGAAGAACCUUACCAGGUCUUGACAUCCUCUGACAACCCUAGAGAUAGGGCUUUCCCUUCGGGGACAGAGUGACAGGUGGUGCAUGGUUGUCGUCAGCUCGUGUCGUGAGAUGUUGGGUUAAGUCCCGCAACGAGCGCAACCCUUGAUCUUANUGGCCAGCAUUCAGUUGGGCACUCUAANGGUGACUGCCNGGUGACAANCCGAAGGAAANGGUGGGNAUACCGUCCAAUCCAUCAUGCCCCNUUAUUAANCUGGGNCUUACACAGGUGCUUCA